This 259-nucleotide ribosomal RNA is filed under the name uncultured bacterium. RNAcentral describes it as "partial 16S ribosomal RNA". It matches the Rfam family "Bacterial small subunit ribosomal RNA", at positions 524 to 778 of the family's 1533-position model. The record is from RNAcentral.
UACGGAGGGUGCAAGCGUUAUCCGGAUUCACUGGGCUUAAAGCGUGUGUAGGCGGGCCGUUAAGUGUCUUGUGAAAUCCCCCGGCUCAACCGGGGAAUUGCUGGGCAUACUGGCGGUCUUGAGCAAUCUAGGGGCAGAUGGAACAAGUGGUGGAGCGGUGAAAUGCGUAGAUAUCACUUGGAACGCCAACGGUGAAGACAGUCUGCUGGGGGAUUUUGCUGACGCUGAGACACGAAAAGCCAGGGGGAGCGAAACGGGG